UCCACCCCGGGUCCCCCUCCGCCCCCACCCGCCCCCAACCCCAGCCCUCCCCACUCACCCCGGGCCGGGCGCGUACCGGGCCUAGGUUAGAGAAGACAGGCAGCUCCAUUUCAGACAAAUGCCAGCAGGGACGAGGCCCCGACACCCAGAAUCCUUGUAGCCGCGACAGUGGACUGGCAUUUCGGAAGACCUCGAACUGAUGCCCUACCUGCAGCAGUGUGGCGUCCACAGCAUCCGAAGACAUCUUCAGUUCCCAACGUGAUGCCUCCAAAUCAACGCUUGCUAUUAAAGCUAUAGGACAAUUAAACACCUUCCUACCUUCACAAAUGCUAUUAUGACUGCACAAUUUAUCAAAGUUGAAAUACAAUAAAUAAUUAAAUCAUUUCUAUUUUACUUAACAAGUUUUUUUUUAAGUUACAAACAAGAAAAGGAAAAAGUGUUUUUAGACAAUUCAUUUGUUUCUGAUUCUUUGUGAGGUUUCAAAUAGUAACAGACUAGUAGAAAAUAUUGAAAUGGACUAAGUUCUUAAGAACUACAAUUUUAUACGAAACUUGUUUUGGGGAACAUCUCUUUAAUAAAGUUAUUUGCAGGGAAUCCAAAUAAUUCCAAUAAAGUGUAUUUCUGAUUAAUGUUCUUGAAAUUCUUUGUUUUACACUGUAUUUGAUUCAUAUGUGCUACUUUUGGAGAGACAUACUGUCAUUCUUUCACCACAUCAGGAAUUGCUCAAUAAUUGAAUUGAAUUAAGUGAAAUCUAAGUAAACAUAUUAUUCUGUUUUGAGUAGAAAUGCUCUUUAAUCUUGCAUUCUUUCUAAUGUUAAUAGAACUGAAUACUGUUUUAGAGUUUAAAAAGAAAUGUAAAUGUUGGCAAAAUGAAUUAAGGAAAGAAACUUUAUUAAAGUCACUUUUUUGUUUUUU
Molecule: non-coding RNA, 915 nt
Organism: Oryctolagus cuniculus (rabbit)
Lineage: Eukaryota; Metazoa; Chordata; Mammalia; Lagomorpha; Leporidae
Source: RefSeq, a predicted model, not a curated record